Long non-coding RNA from Equus asinus (donkey), 1633 nucleotides. The record is from Ensembl. NCBI's taxonomy places the organism in Eukaryota, Metazoa, Chordata, Mammalia, Perissodactyla, Equidae.
UAUCUUCUUCAAAGACUCUCUUUUUUAGAACUUUCAAUUCCUGUCAGUAUUUAGAAGGACAGAUUUUGUUAAUACAAGAAGAAAAGGGCAUUUCUCCAGGUUGAUACACAUUCUCUUCUUUCAUAUUUAUGACUAAGACAGUGCUGUCCCGGAUCACCUCAUCCAGUCAGCUGUGAAGGGAAAGGAAUUAGAUUUUGCUUUUCUGCAGAACGGACUCUGAGCUUGGCAAGCACACAAAGUCAAUACUCCAUUCCAAUACAGACAUCUUCAAAGUUUUGUGGCUUUCAGGUUAUAUCUCACUACAUUAAGAAGUCAAACGUGGAAUACUGAAGAAUGUAUAGACCUCCAACAAACAGUCCAUGUGGCUAUAACAAUGACAAUUAUAAUCUGCAUUUUUCUAUUCAUAAAUAUUUUCACAUAUUAUAUCUCAUUUGUCCCCCAAUUUAUUUUGAUAUAGGCCAGAAUUAUUAGUAAUAUUAUAACUGUUUUUAGGAUAUUUUGAAGUUUUCUAAGGUUAAUUAAUUAGAACAAAUAUAGUAAACGAGCACUUUUUGUGUCGUGUUGUAAUUAGAUUUGAUUCAAUACACAUAUUUGGACAUCUACUAAUUUCAAAGGACUGUGUUACCACAAACGAUUCAAAAGCCUUUAAUCUACUAGGGAAAAUAAGAUAAAUAUACAAAUGAUUGUAAUCUAAUUUUGUAUUAAGUUGAUUUAAGGAGAGAAUUACUUUCAAUUAGAGGGAAUUGAGGAACAUAACAGAGUCAAUGACUAUGAAAAUAUCCCUGGUAUCUUUACUGUUGUUUUGUUUGUUAGUUCUUGUCUAUUGUGGUCAUUCCAGGUAGAAGGAAGCAUCUUCUUUCCCUAGCCCACCUGAGGAAGGAGAACUAAUCUGAGUAUAAUCAUGGAAGUGUGUAAAAUUUAGUUUAUAGAGAUUUUCAUUGGAACAUUGUUUAUGACAUAUUGACAAUAAUUUAAUGUCACUCAAUAGGGAAUUGAUUAAGUAAAUGAUGUAACAUUCAUAUGAAUAAUACUAUGAAUUGAUUAUAAUUACUUUUAGAAUUAUAUUUGUUGACCUAGAAGACAUUCAUGAUAUAUUGUUAAGCAAUAAAGAUGUUUAAAAGGGAAACAUCAUGUCAUAAAGUAUCAUAGCUUUGAAUAUUUAUGCAAUAUAUAAUCACUAUAUCCCUCUAUUUCUUUAUAUGUAUGUAUAUAUUUGUCUCCUAUAUAGAUAUCUGCAUCUAGAUAUAUAUGUGUAUAUUUUAUAUAGCCGCAUUUCUACAAGUAAGAUUUUUAAAAAUGCAGCAAAAUGUUAACAGGUUGAAAGAGUUUUUGGUGAUAUUUAUUCUCUUCUCUUGUUUUCAAUGGAAAUAUUGUAGCUUUUAAUCAGAAAAAAGGUUGACUGAGAUACAGUCUUAUAGAGGAUCUUAUAUUUCAGGUGAAUCUUGAAGGACAAUAGUGAUCUAAAUUGCUCAUAGUUACUAUCAGAGCGAUAUCUAUAAAUAUACCGACCAUUAAAUUAUUUUCUCUAUUAUCCUACAGUGGAAUUCAUCCUUUAGUUGCUAAAGUUUUCUGUGUUAUGGAGACAAUUCACUCUGUUUUAACAAAAGUUGACUAAUAGGAGAAAUAUCAGAGA